CCGGAUCGASUAUUAAGGCACGCCUGCCCGGUGAUAAUUAAACGGCCGCGGUACCCUAACCGUGCAAAGGUAGCGUAAUCAUUUGUCUACUAACUAUAGACCUGUAUGAAAGGCAAAAUGAAGGUCUAACUGUCUCUUAUAAUAAAUCAAUGAAACUGAUCUCCUAGUCAAAAAGCUAGGAUUACCCCACAAGACCAGAAGACCCUGUGAAGCUUAAACUAAACUAUUAAAACCCAUAAUAGCUACUUUCGGUUGGGGCGACCUUGGAAAUAAAAAGAACUUCCAAACCAAAUGAUUAUACUCAUAUAAACCAGGCCCACAAGCCAAUAAAUGACCCAGUACAGCUGAUAAUUGAACCAAGUUACUCCAGGGAUAACAGCGCAAUCUUCUUCAAGAGCCCAUAUCAGAAAGUAAGGUUUACGACCUCGAUGUUGGAUCAGGACAUCCUAAUGGUGCAGCAGCUAUUAAGGGUUCGUUUGUUCAACGAUUAACAGUCCUACGUGAUCUGAGUUYCAGACCGGRAGGUUUACGACCUCGAUGUUGGAUCAKGACWUCCUAWUGGKGCACCRGCUAURARGGGUUCGUUUGUUCAACGAUUAAKAGUCCUACMUGAUCSGAGGUCAGACCGG
RNAcentral lists this ribosomal RNA (629 nucleotides) under Lytorhynchus diadema. Its description in RNAcentral is "partial 16S ribosomal RNA". It matches the Rfam family "Bacterial large subunit ribosomal RNA", at positions 1834 to 2639 of the family's 2925-position model. Lineage: Eukaryota; Metazoa; Chordata; Lepidosauria; Squamata; Colubridae. The record is from RNAcentral.